Molecule: small nuclear RNA, 105 nt
Organism: Hyaena hyaena (striped hyena)
Lineage: Eukaryota; Metazoa; Chordata; Mammalia; Carnivora; Hyaenidae
Source: RefSeq, a predicted model, not a curated record
GUGCUUGCUUCGGCAGCACAUAUACUAAAAUUGGAACGAUACAGAGAUUAGCAUGGCCCCUGCGCAAGGAUGAGAAUCCUCCAAUGCGGAUCUAAGAAAGCAGUG